Molecule: ribosomal RNA, 253 nt
Filed under: uncultured bacterium
Lineage: Bacteria
Description: partial 16S ribosomal RNA
Rfam family: Bacterial small subunit ribosomal RNA
Source: RNAcentral
CCAAGUCGUGAGGCGGAGCUAAUCCCUUAAAGCCAUUCUCAGUUCGGAUUGUAGGCUGAAACUCGCCUACAUGAAGCUGGAGUUACUAGUAAUCGCAGAUCAGAAUGCUGCGGUGAAUGCGUUCCCGGGUCUUGUACACACCGCCCGUCACACCACGGAAGUUGGGGGCGCCCGAAGCCACUUAGCUAACCCUUUUGGGAAGCGAGUGUCGAAGGUGAAAUCAAUAACUGGGGUGAAGUCGUAACAAGGUAUC